This 468-nucleotide ribosomal RNA is filed under the name uncultured bacterium. RNAcentral's name for it is "partial 16S ribosomal RNA". It matches the Rfam family "Bacterial small subunit ribosomal RNA", at positions 28 to 507 of the family's 1533-position model. The record is from RNAcentral.
GACGAACGCUGGCGGCGUGCUUAACACAUGCAAGUCGAACGGAAAGGCCCUGCUUUUGUGGGCGGCUCGAGUGGCGAACCGGUGAGUAACACGUUAGUAACCUGCCCUAGACUUUGGGAUAACUUCAGGAAACUGGGGAUAAUACCGGAUAGGAGCUCCUGCUGCAUGGUGUGGGUUGGAAAGUUUCGGCGGUUGGGGAUGGACUCGCGGCUUGUCAGCUUGCUGGUGGGGUCGGGUCUUACCAAGGCUUCGACGGGUAGCCGGCCUGAGAGGGUGACCGGCCACAUUGGGACUGAGAUACGGCCCAGACUCGUACGGGAGGCAGCGGUGGGGAGUAUUGCACAAUGGGCGGAAGCCUGACGCAGUAACGCCGCGUGCGGGAUGACGGCCUUCGGGUUGUAAACCGCUUUCGCCUUUGGCGAGGCGUGAGUGACGGUAAUGGGUAAAGAAGCACCGGCUAACUACGUG